AACAAAAUUUAGUUGAGUGGGCAAAGCCAUACCUUAUAAGCAGACGCAAUGUUUUCCGAGUGUUGGAUGCUCGCAUGGAAGGUCAUUAUACGAUUGGUGCCGUGCGAAAAGCAUUCGACCUUGCACUCCUAUGCUUGUCAACAGAACCAAAGCUUAGGCCGAAUAUGGAAGAAGUGGUAAAAGCUCUUGAACAACUUUAUGAUUCCAAUGACAAUGGAGUCCUCCAAGGGUAAACCCUACAAAAAGGUCAUUGACAACUUAAGCAAAUAUCACAGCAAAGUGUUGAUAAAGUUGCUAUGAGAAAGCUGACUGUGUUCUCCUGUAAUCCUGUUUGUUAAUAUAAGAGGGAAAAUAUUUGAUAUAUGAUUAACUAUUUAAUUGAUUCAAGGAAAUUUGCAUUUAUGUGAGUUUUAUGUAUUGUAUUUGUAUAUAGACUUGUAGAAUAACAGUAUUAUUCUGUACACUUUCAGUUCCAUUAAUCUAAAUUGAGACAUUUUGAC
This 500-nucleotide unclassified non-coding RNA is filed under the name Hevea brasiliensis (rubber tree). Lineage: Eukaryota; Viridiplantae; Streptophyta; Magnoliopsida; Malpighiales; Euphorbiaceae. The record is from RNAcentral.